GUAACUCAAGUACGAUUUAUUUCAGAAUUAAAAACAGUGUACGCUUUAAAUCCUUUCUUAUGUUUUACUUUAAUCAUUAGUUUUUU
This 86-nucleotide transfer RNA is filed under the name Heterosigma akashiwo. Lineage: Eukaryota; Raphidophyceae; Chattonellales; Chattonellaceae. The record is from RNAcentral.